RNAcentral lists this long non-coding RNA (224 nucleotides) under Pan troglodytes (chimpanzee). RNAcentral describes it as "long non-coding RNA NONPTRT001307". Lineage: Eukaryota; Metazoa; Chordata; Mammalia; Primates; Hominidae. The record is from RNAcentral.
AUUACAACGUACAAGAUUGCAAACAGAAGGAAGAUGUGAUCAAACAAUCCAAUUUUACAUACUCUCAGAUUCCAGCCUGUUGAUUCAGAAUGUACUCCUUUCUUUUUGUUCUGCUUGGUUGAAUUUUGUUUCUCUUCCUCUUAAUAUCCUGACCACAGGCUCAGUGAAUCCCUGUGGUUGUUUUUAUCAAUCCUCUCUACAGUUUCCUCCUUAUAGCCACUUCC